UUUAAGCACAGUCAUAAGUUUUUUUUCCAACUCUAAUUAUACGUAUUAUUUAAAAUUAUUUUAUGGUUAGUAUUUUUUAUUGUUAUUUUAUAAUAAAACAUAAAUAGCACUUUGUGUCUUAUUUAUGUGUUUUAAAUUUUUUUUAAAUAAAAUGGACAACUAAAGUUAGACAUAAAAAGUCAUGUGUGCGCUUAAA
This 196-nucleotide microRNA precursor is filed under the name Oryza sativa Indica Group (long-grained rice). Its description in RNAcentral is "MIR812 microRNA precursor family". It matches the Rfam family "MIR812 microRNA precursor family". Lineage: Eukaryota; Viridiplantae; Streptophyta; Magnoliopsida; Poales; Poaceae. The record is from Rfam by way of RNAcentral.